CAAGUCGAACGGUGAAGCCAAGCUUGCUUGGUGGAUCAGUGGCGAACGGGUGAGUAACACGUGAGCAACCUGCCCUGGACUCUGGGAUAAGCGCUGGAAACGGCGUCUAAUACUGGAUAUGAGCUCCUUCCGCAUGGUGGGGGUUGGAAAGAUUUUUCGGUCUGGGAUGGGCUCGCGGCCUAUCAGCUUGUUGGUGAGGUAAUGGCUCACCAAGGCGUCGACGGGUAGCCGGCCUGAGAGGGUGACCGGCCACACUGGGACUGAGACACGGCCCAGACUCCUACGGGAGGCAGCAGUGGGGAAUAUUGCACAAUGGGCGGAAGCCUGAUGCAGCAACGCCGCGUGAGGGAUGACGGCCUUCGGGUUGUAAACCUCUUUUAGCAGGGAAGAAGCGAAAGUGACGGUACCUGCAGAAAAAGCGCCGGCUAACUACGUGCCAGCAGCCGCGGUAAUACGUAGGGCGCAAGCGUUAUCCGGAAUUAUUGGGCGUAAAGAGCUCGUAGGCGGUUUGUCGCGUCUGCUGUGAAAUCCCGAGGCUCAACCUCGGGCCUGCAGUGGGUACGGGCAGACUAGAGUGCGGUAGGGGAGAUUGGAAUUCCUGGUGUAGCGGUGGAAUGCGCAGAUAUCAGGAGGAACACCGAUGGCGAAGGCAGAUCUCUGGGCCGUAACUGACGCUGAGGAGCGAAAGGGUGGGGAGCAAACAGGCUUAGAUACCCUGGUAGUCCACCCCGUAAACGUUGGGAACUAGUUGUGGGGACCAUUCCACGGUUUCCGUGACGCAGCUAACGCA
RNAcentral lists this ribosomal RNA (790 nucleotides) under Microbacterium sp. MB2(2008). RNAcentral's name for it is "bacterial SSU rRNA". It matches the Rfam family "Bacterial small subunit ribosomal RNA", at positions 58 to 859 of the family's 1533-position model. The record is from RNAcentral. Lineage: Bacteria; Bacillati; Actinomycetota; Actinomycetes; Micrococcales; Microbacteriaceae.